This 118-nucleotide ribosomal RNA is filed under the name Periophthalmus magnuspinnatus. The record is from RNAcentral. Lineage: Eukaryota; Metazoa; Chordata; Actinopteri; Gobiiformes; Gobiidae.
AAAUGUGGACAGUCCUUCUUGUCAAAACCUGAUCUCAACAGAUCUCAGAGGCUAAGCAGGGCUGGGCCUGGUCAGUACUUGGAUGGGAGACCACUGGGAAUAUCAGGUGCCACAGUGG